GGGCCCGUAGCUCAGCGGUAGAGCAGUCGGCUCAUAAUCGAUUGGUCGCUGGUUCGAAUCCAGCCGGGCCCACCA
This 75-nucleotide transfer RNA is filed under the name Bacillota bacterium. RNAcentral describes it as "Firmicutes bacterium tRNA-Met". It matches the Rfam family "tRNA". From Rfam's summary of the family: Transfer RNA (tRNA) molecules are approximately 80 nucleotides in length. Their secondary structure includes four short double-helical elements and three loops (D, anti-codon, and T loops). Further hydrogen bonds mediate the characteristic L-shaped molecular structure. tRNAs have two regions of fundamental functional importance: the anti-codon, which is responsible for specific mRNA codon recognition, and the 3' end, to which the tRNAs corresponding amino acid is attached (by aminoacyl-tRNA synthetases). tRNAs cope with the degeneracy of the genetic code in two manners: having more than one tRNA (with a specific anti-codon) for a particular amino acid; and 'wobble' base-pairing, i.e. permitting non-standard base-pairing at the 3rd anti-codon position. RNAcentral also lists the same sequence under 1 other name. The record is from RNAcentral. Lineage: Bacteria; Bacillati; Bacillota.